GGCUUUGUAGCUCAGUUGGUAGAGCGUCAAGCCAGUGACUUGAAGGUCCCUGGUUCAAGUCCAGGUGAAGCUA
Saccoglossus kowalevskii is the source of this 73-nucleotide non-coding RNA. NCBI's taxonomy places the organism in Eukaryota, Metazoa, Hemichordata, Enteropneusta, Harrimaniidae. The record is from the annotation of a RefSeq genome assembly.